This 348-nucleotide long non-coding RNA is filed under the name Mus pahari (shrew mouse). RNAcentral's name for it is "lncRNA (MGP_PahariEiJ_G0006435.1)". Lineage: Eukaryota; Metazoa; Chordata; Mammalia; Rodentia; Muridae. The record is from RNAcentral.
AUUCCUGCAUCAGACUACAGACCAGGGCUUGGAUUUGGCUGUGUUCCUCUGCUGAAGGUUACAGCUACUGCCGCACAGCUGUCUUUGUACAGAUCUCCCCAGGUCUCCCCAGAUAAAGCCACACUGUAAGGUUCCAGAUGGCCACACUUAUUUGGAGACAGCAUUUAACACAAUGCUACUUCUACCUCUAUGAGAACCUGGUGAAGAGGACACAGCCAGAGCUUUGCUCUAAAGGUUCCAAAUGCACAUCUAACUAACCAUCCAACUGGUCCCAUCAGCCAAUGUAUCUCUUUGUUACCUCAAGGGAGUUUGAUUUAGGUUUUCAUCAAUAUAGCUUCAUAUUUUCAA